UACGGAGGGGGUUAGCGUUGUUCGGAAUUACUGGGCGUAAAGCGCGCGUAGGCGGAUCAGAAAGUAGGGGGUGAAAUCCCGGGGCUCAACCCCGGAACUGCCUCCUAAACUCCUGGUCUUGAGUUCGAGAGAGGUGAGUGGAACUCCGAGUGUAGAGGUGAAAUUCGUAGAUAUUCGGAAGAACACCAGUGGCGAAGGCGGCUCACUGGCUCGAUACUGACGCUGAGGUGCGAAAGUGUGGGGAGCAAACAGG
This 253-nucleotide ribosomal RNA is filed under the name uncultured bacterium. RNAcentral describes it as "partial 16S ribosomal RNA". It matches the Rfam family "Bacterial small subunit ribosomal RNA", at positions 524 to 776 of the family's 1533-position model. The record is from RNAcentral.